Molecule: ribosomal RNA, 1288 nt
Filed under: Cleridae sp. 3 KM-2017
Lineage: Eukaryota; Metazoa; Arthropoda; Insecta; Coleoptera; Cleridae
Description: 16S ribosomal RNA
Rfam family: Archaeal large subunit ribosomal RNA (bases 1048-1206)
Source: RNAcentral
AAUUAAUUUAUUAUUAUUUUAUUUUAAAAAGUUAUUUUAUAUUAAAAAAAGAAAUUUUAUUUUUAUUAUUAUAAAGAAAAAAUUUAUAUUAUUAUAGAUAAAAGUAUUGUGAAAGAAUUAAUUUAAUUAAAAAAAAGAAAAAUUAAAAUUUUGUACCUUGUGUAUCAGGGUUAAUUAAAUAAAAAAUUUUUAUAUAAUUUUUCUCGAAUUUAAAAGAGUCAAUUAUUUAUUUAUUUAAUUGUAAAAUAAAUUUUUAAAAUAAAUAAUUGGUAAUGAAAUGUUAUUCGUUUUUAAAUAUAUCUAGUUUUAAAAGAAAAAAAUUUAAUUUUAUUAUUAAUAAGUAAAAAUUUAAAUUUUAAAUUUUUUUAUUAUUAAUAUUUUAUUUUAUUAGGGAUAAGCUUAAUAAAAUAUUUUUAUAAUUUAUUAUAGGUAUUUUAUAAUUUUUAAGAUUAAAAAUUUCUAUUUAUAGUAGUUUGUUAUAAUUAGUUAUAAAUUAAAUAAUAUUUAUAUAAAAUUUAAUUAGUUUAUUUUAAUAUAUUUUUUAAUUUAAAAAAAUUAGAAAUAAUGAUUAAAUUAGUAUAAAAAUUUUUAUAAUUAAUUUUGUUGUAAAAGGUUAAUUUAAGGAAUUCGGCAAAUUUAUUUUUCACCUGUUUAUUAAAAACAUGUCUUUUUGAAAAUAAUUUAAAGUCUAAUCUGCCCACUGAGUUUUUAAAUGGCCGCGGUAUUUUGACCGUGCAAAGGUAGCAUAAUCAUUAGUUUUUUAAUUGAAAGCUGGUAUGAAUGAUUGGAUGAGAAAAUAGCUGUCUCAAGUUAAUUUAAAUAGAAUUUUAUUUUUAAGUUAAAAAGCUUAAAUUAAAUUUAAAGACGAGAAGACCCUAUAGAGUUUAAUAAAUAAGAUUAUUAAAUUUUUUAGUUUUUAGUAUUUAAAUUUAUAUUAUUUAUUUUGUUGGGGUGAUAGAGAAAUUUAAUUAACUUUUUUUAUAUUUUUACAUUAAUAAAUGAUUUUAUGAUCCAUAAUUUAUGAUUAUAAGAUAAAAUUACCUUAGGGAUAACAGCGUAAUUUUUUUUAAGAGUUCUAAUCGAAAAAAAAGAUUGCGACCUCGAUGUUGGAUUAAAAUAAAUUUUUGGUGUAGUAGCUAAAAUAUUAGGUCUGUUCGACCUUUGAAAUUUUACAUGAUCUGAGUUUAAACCGGUGUGAGCCAGGUUGGUUUCUAUCUUUAAUAAAAUUAUAUAUUUUAGUACGAAAGGACCAAAUAUUUGUUAUAAUAAUUUUAUUAUGAAUAAUAUU